CGCGUAGGCGGUUUGUUAAGUCAGAUGUGAAAGUCCACGGCUCAACCGUGGAAGUGCAUUUGAAACUGGCAGACUUGAGUACUGGAGGGGGUGGUGGAAUUCCCGGUGUAGAGGUGAAAUUCGUAGAUAUCGGGAGGAAUACCGGUGGCGAAGGCGACCACCUGGCCAGAUACUGACGCUGAGGUGCGAAAGCGUGGGGAGCAAACCGGAUUAGAUACCCGAGUAGUCC
Molecule: ribosomal RNA, 229 nt
Filed under: uncultured bacterium
Lineage: Bacteria
Description: partial 16S ribosomal RNA
Rfam family: Bacterial small subunit ribosomal RNA
Source: RNAcentral